Molecule: long non-coding RNA, 375 nt
Organism: Gordionus sp. m RMFG-2023
Lineage: Eukaryota; Metazoa; Nematomorpha; Gordioida; Chordodea; Parachordodidae
Exons: 3
Source: RefSeq, a predicted model, not a curated record
GAGACAUAUAGGCAUCAAUCAUUUUUCGUAAGGACUUGAAAUAAAAGACAAUUUCAUUCAUUCUAUUAUCACGGAUAUAAGAGAAUUCAUUACAUACUCCCAUUUCCUUCAACAUUUUAUCGAUAAUUAUGCACUGAGAGAAAGAAAAACGAAAAACGUACCACCGUAACCGGGGCACCAUGAAGUAUAAAAAAGAGUUUCCUGGAUAUAUAGAUUUUGGUAAUGGAACAAAACCUUCUGAAUCUAUAUCUGAGCAAGCAAAGCUUUAUUUCUUAUGGCAACAUAUUCUUAUUUAUUUAUCAGAAAUUCAUAUAAAAAUAAUGCAAUGACUUUAAAAAUAUCCUAUCAAUUAUUUACUAUUUUAAGCCUUGAUAU